This 222-nucleotide long non-coding RNA is filed under the name Elaeis guineensis (African oil palm). Its description in RNAcentral is "long non-coding RNA (EGUI_LNC054751)". The record is from RNAcentral. Lineage: Eukaryota; Viridiplantae; Streptophyta; Magnoliopsida; Arecales; Arecaceae.
GCUGGUGUUCAAUAAUAGAAUUCUGAUGGUAGGUAAUGUGAAAAAGCAUAGAUGGAAUGGACCCAUACAUUGUUUGUUAUGCGGAAAAGAAGAAGAAAUAGUAGAUCACCCCUUUGUAAAAUGUGAGUUGGCUUAAAUCAUCUGGAAAAAAUUUUGAAAACAAUUAUUUAUUUGAAGAGAUGUGGACUAAAAGGCAAUUGGCCGUACAGAACAAGAAUGAAA